This 418-nucleotide ribosomal RNA is filed under the name uncultured bacterium. RNAcentral's name for it is "bacterial SSU rRNA". It matches the Rfam family "Bacterial small subunit ribosomal RNA", at positions 28 to 416 of the family's 1533-position model. The record is from RNAcentral.
GACGAACGUUGGCGGAGUGCCUUACACAUGCAAGUCGUACGCGAGAGGGGAAACCCAGCUUGCUGGGGACCCCGAGUAGAGUGGCGAACGGGAGCGUAACACGUGAGGAACCUGCCUCGGAGUGGGGAAUAACCCAGAGAAAUCUGGGCUAAUUCCGCAUGAUGCAGCGGCCCCGCAUGGGGACAGUUGUUAAAGACCGCCUCUGCUUGCAAGCGGUCGCUUCGAGAUGGUCUCGCGGCCUAUCAGCUAGUUGGCGGGGUAAUGGCCUACCAAGGCGACGACGGGUAGCCGGCCUGAGAGGGUGUCCGGCCUCAUUGGGACUGAGACACGGCCCAGACUCCUACGGGAGGCAGCAGUGAGGAAUCUUGCGCAAUGGGCGAAAGCCUGACGCAGCGACGCCGCGUGAGGGAUGAAGGCC